UACGGAAGGCAGCAGUGGGGAAUAUUGCACAAUGGGCGCAAGCCUGAUGCAGCCAUGCCGCGUGUAUGAAGAAGGCCUUCGGGUUGUAAAGUACUUUUCAGUCGUGAGGAAGGUGUUAAGGUUAAUAACCUUAGCAAUUGACGUUAGCGACAGAAGAAGCACCGGCUAACUCCGUGCCAGCAGCCGCGGUAAUACGGAGGGUGCGAGCGUUAAUCGGAAUUACUGGGCGUAAAGGGCACGCAGGCGGUUAAUUAAGUUGGAUGUGAAAUCCCCGGGCUUAACCUGGGAAUGGCAUUCAAGACUGGUUAGCUAGAGUCUUGUAGAGGGGGUUAGAAUUCCAUGUGUAGCGGUGAAAUGCGUAGAGAUGUGGAGGAAUACCGGUGGCGAAGGCGGCCCCUGGGACAAAGGACUGACGCUCAUGUGCGAAAGCGUGGGGAGCAAACG
Molecule: ribosomal RNA, 444 nt
Filed under: uncultured bacterium
Lineage: Bacteria
Description: bacterial SSU rRNA
Rfam family: Bacterial small subunit ribosomal RNA
Source: RNAcentral